This 444-nucleotide ribosomal RNA is filed under the name uncultured bacterium. RNAcentral describes it as "bacterial SSU rRNA". It matches the Rfam family "Bacterial small subunit ribosomal RNA", at positions 331 to 792 of the family's 1533-position model. The record is from RNAcentral.
CCAGACUCCUACGGGAGGCAGCAGUGGGGAAUAUUGCACAAUGGGGGGAACCCUGAUGCAGCGACGCCGCGUGAGGGAAGAAGGUUUUCGGAUUGUAAACCUCUGUCCUCUGUGACGAUAAUGACGGUAGCAGAGGAGGAAGCCACGGCUAACUACGUGCCAGCAGCCGCGGUAAUACGUAGGUGACAAGCGUUGUCCGGAUUUACUGGGUGUAAAGGGCGCGUAGGCGGACUGUCAAGUCAGUCGUGAAAUACCGAAGCUUAACUUCGGGGCUGCGAUUGAAACUGACAGCCUUGAGUAUCGGAGAGGAAAGCGGAAUUCCUAGUGUAGCGGUGAAAUGCGUAGAUAUUAGGAGGAACACCAGUGGCGAAGGCGGCUUUCUGGACGACAACUGACGCUGAGGCGCGAAAGUGUGGGGAGCAAACAGGAUUAGAUACCCUUGUA